RNAcentral lists this ribosomal RNA (324 nucleotides) under uncultured eukaryote. RNAcentral describes it as "partial 18S ribosomal RNA". It matches the Rfam family "Eukaryotic small subunit ribosomal RNA", at positions 1470 to 1796 of the family's 1831-position model. The record is from RNAcentral.
CCCUUAGAUGUUCUGGGCCGCACGCGCGCUACACUGAUGCAUUCAACGAGUUUCUUCCUGGUCCGAGAGGAAUGGGUAACCUUUUGAAAGUGCAUCGUGAUAGGGAUAGACUAUUGCAAUUAUUGGUCUUCAACGAGGAAUUCCUAGUAGACGUAGUUCAUCAGACUGCAUCGAUUACGUCCCUGCCCUUUGUACACACCGCCCGUCGCUCCUACCGAUUGAAUGCUCAGGUGAGCCAUUCGGACUUUCAUCAUGCUGGUUUCCAGUUUUGAUGAAGGAAAGUCUUGCGAACCUUCUCAUUUAGAGGAAGGAGAAGUCGUAACA